Eucalyptus grandis is the source of this 1003-nucleotide long non-coding RNA. RefSeq lists it as uncharacterized. The transcript has 3 exons. NCBI's taxonomy places the organism in Eukaryota, Viridiplantae, Streptophyta, Magnoliopsida, Myrtales, Myrtaceae. The record is from RefSeq and is a predicted model, not a curated record.
CCGCAAUUAUCCGUAUUUCUGGGCUCGCAAGGCGAAGGUAAAUAAAGCUACUUCGCGCUUUCCUUAUUUUAACUCUUGUUCGUCGCUUUCCGCGGGGUUCUCUUCUCAUCCACACAAGGUAAUUUCUUUAGUUCAAAAUUAGCCUUCGUCGGGGACGAGUCAGUCAGUAGUCAGCUGCAUUUCCUCGGUUAAACGCGGCCUGUAGAUUGAUCUCAUUAGCCUGAACGAGCAACGACAUGGUGUCUGCUGCAACGUUUCAUGGGGCGUAGUCUAUAAACCCUUCCUUCACCGUCGCCUCGCCGGUAUCAAGUCUAAGAGGAGAAGAUGCUGAAGGGGGGGACUUUGGAUGUGAGAUUGCUCCUUAUUGUAGAGACGAAGGGGAGAUGCCACUGCAGGCUCUGCUGUUGUUAACAUCUUUUGAGUUUUUGUGGAAACUCUUUGCUAUGAUUAGAGUUGGUUCUCAAACUACUCAUGGGGGAAGAGGCCAAAGUAUCUGCUGUAAUUCAUGACUCUCAUCAAAAGUGGCCCGCUGCUAGGUCUGAAGAGUUGGUUUCCAUCCAAGGUGCAGUUUGUGGUGUGAAUUUUCCUAUUUCCUCAGCUGCAGAUGAAGCUGUAUGCAAAGCUUCUUCAAAUGGUUGCUAUAACUCCUUUGUUGCUUGCAAAAUUGUUAGAAGCAAGAGUGCUAAUGUUGACUGGCAAAAACUUGUGGAUUCUCCCCUAAUGUGCCAAGAGCUGGCUUUUUUUCUUGGUUAGUAAUACGUGAUAAACUCCCCACUUUUUAGAGGAUUUACAGUUGGUGUGUUGGGAGUACUAGAUCUCUCUGAUUGUUCUGUAAUAUAAGCAUGGAAUCUUGCUCUCAUCUAUUUUUCAAGUGUAGUUUCUCUAAUCAAGUAUGGAGCAAGGUGCUGCAGCUUUGUUGGAUUCAUAAAACUCCUAGAGUUUGGGAUUAUGAAUUUGGUUUAAUAUAACAAGCUGCUCAGGGAAAGAUUUUCAGAAGUGUCUA